GAGGUAUUAGUAAAAUAAUUACGUAACUUUGUCAAAGUUAAAUUAUAGGGUUAUACCUAUAUAUCUC
This 67-nucleotide transfer RNA is filed under the name Euchoreutes naso (Long-eared jerboa). RNAcentral describes it as "tRNA-Asp". The record is from RNAcentral. Lineage: Eukaryota; Metazoa; Chordata; Mammalia; Rodentia; Dipodidae.